UCGAGAAUUUUUCACAAUGGGGGCAACCCUGAUGGAGCGACGCCGCGUGGAGGAUGAAGGCCUUCGGGUUGUAAACUCCUGUCAUGCGGGAACAAGCAAGUGAUAGUACCGCAAGAGGAAGAGACGGCUAACUCUGUGCCAGCAGCCGCGGUAAUACAGAGGUCUCAAGCGUUGUUCGGAUUCAUUGGGCGUAAAGGGUGCGUAGGUGGUGACGCAAGUCUGGUGUGAAAUCUCGGAGCUCAACUCCGAAAUUGCACCGGAUACUGCGUGACUCGAGGACUGUAGAGGAGAUCGGAAUUCACGGUGUAGCAGUGAAAUGCGUAGAUAUCGUGAGGAAGACCAGUUGCGAAGGCGGAUCUCUGGGCAGUUCCUGACACUGAGGCACGAAGGCCAGGGGAGCAAACGGGAUUAGAUACCCCGGUAGUCCUGGCAGUAAACGGUGCACGUUUGGUGUGGGCGGGUUCCGACCCGUCCGUGCCGGAGC
Molecule: ribosomal RNA, 484 nt
Filed under: uncultured Verrucomicrobiota bacterium
Lineage: Bacteria; Pseudomonadati; Verrucomicrobiota
Description: bacterial SSU rRNA
Rfam family: Bacterial small subunit ribosomal RNA
Source: RNAcentral